Molecule: long non-coding RNA, 1225 nt
Filed under: Vombatus ursinus (common wombat)
Lineage: Eukaryota; Metazoa; Chordata; Mammalia; Diprotodontia; Vombatidae
Description: lncRNA (ENSVURG00010018993.1)
Source: RNAcentral
GGCUAGCCUUGGAGUCAGGAAGACACGAGUUCAAAUCCUACCUCAGACACUUAUUGGUUGUGUGACCUUGAUCACAACAAUAGCUUUGAGGACACAGGAUUAAGGGAGGAGGGUCCCAUGAGUGAGCCUAGGGAUGGUGUGUCAGAUAUAACAUCUUUAGGGUGGUUGGUGUUGGGCAAGUAGGAGCCCUCAGGUAUAUAUAUAUAUCAUGACCUUCCUGUUAGGUAGAUAAAAUAAUUUCUUCAUUUGUAAAAUGGGGGUGAAAGUGAGGCCCAAGGAAUUCAAAUGAUUUGCUUGAGACCGGUGGGGAACCUGUGGCCUUGAGGCUGCAUGUGGCCUAGGUCCUUGGGUGCAGCCUUUUGACUGAGUCCAAGUUUUACAGAACAAAUCCUUUUAUUAAGGGGAUUUAUUCUGUGAAGUUAGGAUUCAGUCAAAGGGCUGAACUUGACCUAGAGGGUCACAUGUUCAGGCUCCCCUCCCCUGGCGUGAGGUCAUGCAGUGAGUAAGUAGCAUAGCCAAGACUAGACAUAGACUAGAAUCUUGUCUGGUUCAGAGUUCUUUCCUCUAGAUACAAUGCCUACCCUCUGGGGACUAUUGGGGAAAGACUGGGAGAGCUGGAAGGAGAGACUUAAGGAAGGAAAGGUGGCAGAAGACCUUAGGAAUUUGGGCCUGGGGUGGGUAGACGGGGGAGGAGCGGUGAAGCAGGUAGGGACUGGUAAGCUACCCAGAGCUAUGGCAUUGAAGAUACCCAGAGACCAUUUCCCCUGGCCCGCUUCUUCAGGUGCUAGCAUGAGGCUGAGGGCAGGGGGAUGGACCCUUCAGUGCUCAUCAAGUCCCAGUUUCCAGCCUGAGUCUAAGCCCGGGCUGGGGCCGAAGCUGGCUGACUGAUAGGACGCCAGGCACCUGAGUCUGCUCCUGAUCUGGGACAGUAACGCAGGUGAGAGGGAACUUGACUGGGUUUUGAGAUUGGAAGGGGAGAAGGGAGGGAGGCUGGGAUGACACCAGCUCCAGACCCCUCAGGGCUGGCAGGAGGCGGCAUGACCUUCGUCUCACUGCCUCUGACCUGGUGCUCCCUCAGAUCAAUAGCGCUAUCUAGAGUCGUCCUUAGAAAGAACCCUGAAUGACAAGGCUCCUCCAGGGGGACCUCAUCUCUUGGGUCUUGGUGGGUCAGAUUGGUGCUGGGUGUGGCUCUGGAUCCCUGCUGAGAACCGAAGGGGUGGCUGGG